RNAcentral lists this transfer RNA (32 nucleotides) under Bavayia kunyie. RNAcentral's name for it is "partial tRNA-Tyr". Lineage: Eukaryota; Metazoa; Chordata; Lepidosauria; Squamata; Diplodactylidae. The record is from RNAcentral.
UGUUUACAUGGGUUUAAAUCCUGUUUCUAUCA